Molecule: ribosomal RNA, 463 nt
Filed under: uncultured bacterium
Lineage: Bacteria
Description: partial 16S ribosomal RNA
Rfam family: Bacterial small subunit ribosomal RNA
Source: RNAcentral
GAUGAACGCUGACAGAAUGCUUAACACAUGCAAGUCGAUGGGGAAGUGGUGCUUGCACCAUGGCAACCAUGGCGGACGGGUGAGUAACGCGUAAGGGACUUACCUGCAGGACUGGGAUAACACGGGGAAACUCCUGACAAGACCGGAUAAUGUCAUGGAGCUGCAUGGCUUUAUGAUGAAAGGAGACGCCUGCGGAGAGCCUUGCGUCCUAUUAGCUAGUUGGUGAGGUAAUGGCUCACCAAGGCGAAGAUAGGUAGCCGGCCUGAGAGGGUGGACGGCCACAAGGGGACUGAGAUACGGCCCUUACUCCUACGGGAGGCAGCAGUGGGGAAUAUUGGACAAUGGGGGCAACCCUGAUCCAGCAAUUCUGUGUGCACGAAGAAGGUUUUCGGAUUGUAAAGUGCUUUCAGCAGGGAAGAAGUAAGUGACGGUACCUGCAGAGGAAGCGACGGCUAAAUACGUG